UUUUUUUUCUUUUCUUUUUUGACUUAGGACAGUUCUGACCUGAUGACCACAGUGAGGUUUCCUCUAAAAGUUAUUUUUCUACUUUUUUCUGUUAGCAAAGCAGAUGCCGCUACAGAUUGAAUGCAUUUGGGCCAUCUAAGUUACUGGGGAUUGAUUAAGAAGUCAGUGGCUUUCAUGCCCUUACACUGACAACAGGCUGGUAGGGGGAGAAGACCUUCAAUUAUCAAUUAUAGGUUUUGAAUUUACCCUGGCUUUUAAAGGAAUAGGGCACACCGUUUUCUCUUUACUACUUCUAUUUGUCUUUCUUUCUUUGACUUUGUCUCUCUUUUUCUCUCUUUGACUCCCUCUUUGUCUCUCUGUCUCUUCCUCUCUCUCUUUCUGCUUCUCUUUUUCUCUUUCUCUUUCCCCUCUCUCUCCUCCCCUCUGCUGGUCUUUUUCCCUGCUCUCAGCUGCUGCACUCCCCUUUUCCCCUCUUCCCUACGAGGGAUCUGGCUACCCUUUCUUCCCCCGAGAAGAAAGGAAAGGGGGGUUCUGAAUAUUUUUGUUACUACCAGAGGUUUGUGUGAGGUUCAACCCCCUCCAUGGGGAUUUCAUAUCUCUUUCUGAGGUUCACUGCCCCCAUUACGGGUCUUUUUGAGAUAUUUUUCAGACUGAGUACACUUGAACUCUACUGAUCCUGUGGCCCAAACCCAGAGAUGGACUUGGUGCAUGAGGAUAGUUUUCCACACCCCUAUGAUUUCAUCCCAACCAAUCAGCAGCACCAUUCCCUAGCCCUCUGCCCACCACAUUGUCCAUAUAAACCCCUAACACCGGAGCCUUUAGGGUGACUGAUGUGAGUCAUAACUCCAGUUCUCCCAUGUGGGCUGGCCUUGGGUCAAUUAAACUCUUUCUCUACUUAAUGCCGUGGUCUCAGUGAAUUGAUUUUGUCUGUUCAGCAGGCAGGAAGAAUUUGUAGGACGAUUACAUGUUUAUCAUAAAUUCACCACUGCAUGAUGCCACAUCAAGGAAAAUGGGCAGAAUAAUUACCCAUGAUCAGAGACUGUUUAACCCAUGAACAUUUUCACAGAGCCCUCCAGACCUUUGUGCAAAUCCUUUAACAGAAACUUCGUAGGAUACUACAUUGCAACAAAGACAAAGUAUGUGGAUAAAGGGGCAGGAGAGUUUGUAAUAUUCUAAAAGUUAAUUACAGUUAUAUAUAUUUCUAUUGCCUUAGCUUUAAGAUCUUCCUAAAAGGAAAGUGGGAAGCACUGCACUGUAGUUCAGUGGUGUGGUAUAAUAUGAAAUACAAACAGUAUCUUUGAUCUUUAUCUCCAGUUCCUGACACACUUGGAAUUUCCUGAGUGAUAGAAAUGUCUUUUGUUAUUCACAGGGAGCUCCUUUGAUAAUGAGGAAGUUUAUGCUAAUAAGGCGACUUAGGGUAGGGCCCCUAGAUAGCCUCAGGCUGGGGCCAAAUUGCCAGAAAGACCAAGUGAUUAGAGAGUUGGAAGUUUUGGCAUCAACCUCCAGGAAAGGGGGUGGGGCUGGACAUUAAGCUCUAAAAACUCCUCAACAAGGGUUGAGCUUCAGAUAGCUGAACAAGUGGAAGUUCCUGGAGGGUGGUGCCCAGAGAGGGCGUGGAAGGCCUGCACCUCCCCCAACACCUCACCCCAUGAUUCUCUUCAUCCGGUGUUCCUUUUUAUCCUUUUAAAAUGUCUUUCAUCAAUAAACUGGCAA
Long non-coding RNA from Macaca fascicularis (crab-eating macaque), 1713 nucleotides. Lineage: Eukaryota; Metazoa; Chordata; Mammalia; Primates; Cercopithecidae. The record is from Ensembl.